RNAcentral lists this ribosomal RNA (497 nucleotides) under uncultured bacterium. RNAcentral's name for it is "partial 16S ribosomal RNA". It matches the Rfam family "Bacterial small subunit ribosomal RNA", at positions 28 to 507 of the family's 1533-position model. The record is from RNAcentral.
GACGAACGCUGGCGGCGUGCCUAAUACAUGCAAGUUGAGCGCUGAAGGUUGGUACUUGUACCAACUGGAUGAGCCGCGAACGGGUGAGUAACGCGUGGGGAAUCUGCCUUUGAGCGGGGGACAACAUGUGGAAACGAAUGCUAAUACCGCAUAAAAACUUUAAACACAAGUUUUAAGUUUGAAAGAUGCAAUUGCAUCACUCAAAGAUGAUUCCGCGUUGUAUUAGCUAGUUGGUGAGGUAAAGGCUCACCAAGGCGAUGAUACAUAGCAGACCUGAGGGGAUGAUCGGCCAGAUUGAGACUGUGACAGGGCACAAAGGCAUACGGGAGGCAGCAGUAGGGAUACGGCGGGAAGGGGUGAGAGUUUGAGCGAGCAGCGCGGCGGGAGGGAGGAGGGUUGUCGGAUGGUAAAACACGGUUGGUAGAGAAGAACGUGGGUGAGAGUGGAAAGCUCAGCAAGUGACGGUAAUGAGCCAGAAAGGGACGGCUAACUACGUG